AUACGGAGGAUCCGAGCGUUAUCCGGAUUUAUUGGGUUUAAAGGGUGCGUAGGUGGGAUAUUAAGUCAGCUGUGAAAGUUUGGGGCUCAACCUUAAAAUUGCAGUUGAUACUGGUUUCCUUGAGUACGGUACAGGUGGGCGGAAUUCGUGGUGUAGCGGUGAAAUGCUUAGAUAUCACGAAGAACUCCGAUCGCGAAGGCAGCUCACCGGGCCGGAACUGACUCUGAUGCUCGAAAGUGCGGGUAUCAAACAGGAUUAGAUACCCUGGUAGUCCGCACAGUAAACGAUGAAUACUUGUUUUCGGCGAUAUAAUGUCGGAGGCAAAGCGAAAGCGAUAAGUAUUCCACCUGGGGAGUACGCCGGCAACGGUGAAACUCAAAGGAAUUGACGGGG
Molecule: ribosomal RNA, 393 nt
Filed under: uncultured bacterium
Lineage: Bacteria
Description: partial 16S ribosomal RNA
Rfam family: Bacterial small subunit ribosomal RNA
Source: RNAcentral